GACGAACGCUGGCGGCGUGCUUAACACAUGCAAGUCGAACGGAAAGGCCCUGUUCUUGUGGGGUGCGCGAGUGGCGAACGGGGGAGUAACACGUGAGUAACCUGCCCUUUACUUCGGGAUAACUUCAGGAAACAGGGGCUAAUAUCGGACAUGAGCUCCUGCUGCAUGGGGGUGGUGGGAAAAUUUCGGCGGUUGGGGAUGGACUGGCGGUUGAUCAGCGUGUUGGCGAGGUGGUGGCGUAGCAAGGCGCUGACGGGUAGCCGGCCUGAGAGGGUGACCGGCCACAUUGGGACUGGGGUAGGAGCCGGACUGCUACGGGAGGCAUGAGUGGGAGAUUUUGCGCGCUGGGCGGAAGCCUGAUGCAGCAACGCCGGGUGCUGGAUGACGGCCUUCGGGUUGUAACCCGCUUUCGCCUGUGACGCAGCGUGAGUGACGGUAAUGGGUAAAGAAGCAACGGCUAACUACGUG
This 468-nucleotide ribosomal RNA is filed under the name uncultured bacterium. Its description in RNAcentral is "partial 16S ribosomal RNA". It matches the Rfam family "Bacterial small subunit ribosomal RNA", at positions 28 to 507 of the family's 1533-position model. The record is from RNAcentral.